CCAUAUCCUAACUUAUGGGAUGUGGCAUAUCGUUAUCGCGGGACGAGUGGACCUUUGAUACUCUUUCGACUUAAUUCAAGCAUUUUUCAAAACAAACAUUAAUAAAAAUGGAUCGUAUUUUAAUUCUUUUCAAAUUUUCAACAUUCAACGUUAGGACAUUAAUCAAUCAAUUAGGUACCAAUUUUGGGCGUUACCAGGGUGCUAAUCUUUCCUCUUACGUAACCGACUCCCGAGCUCAUUUUCUCGAAUUUCGUAGACCAAAAAGUGUUGUUUUAAUAAAUCAAAACCGUUUAUCAAAAACAACCAUUUUAUGAUGUGACCCGAUCACACCUCAUCAAAAAGGAUUGGUGACGACUCCCAUUUUCAUUUUUAAAAUAAGUCGACGCCCUUUAAAAAAUAGUUUCGAUAGAUACUUUUCAUAAAACAUCGAUACCUUUUGUAGGGCCCAAUUUCUGCCCGGGCCUAAUCAUAAUAGCCCAAAGCAAAAAAGCCCAAACCUAACCCUAGACCUAGCCCACAACCAUUAGCAAAACAGAAGCCAAGUUCAGCGCCACACACCCCUCGCACGCCCCACGUCCGUGCACUCCUCCUCUACGUCUUCAUGGCACCUGCGACUUGAGCAAGAAAAUAGCAAGAAACAAGUUGUAUUCGGCUAUAAAGCUCUCAAAUUUUUAUUGUAAAGGGGGACCUUUUUUUUUUCCUUCCUUUUUUCAUAAAAAUAGAAUACAGAUCUAAAAAAUCAACAAAUAUAUAGAAAAGAAUCCAAAGAAAUCAAAAAGCAAAGGUUGUGUUUUUUUUUUUAGAUUUCUUUUGUUGUUAUUGAUGUUCUCUUUUCAUGGGUUUUAUUUUGAGUUUUUUUUUAAAUAGGACAUAGUGUUUGAAGUGUUUUUUAAAAUAAAAAUAAAGAAAGCGAAAAGGUCGAAGGUACCUGGUUGUGGCUCCUCCGGCCGCCGUUAUUCGUGAUUGAGGCGGAUUAGUAGCAGGGGGUUGAUCCAUUUGUGCCCUAGUAGAGUAGAA
RNAcentral lists this long non-coding RNA (1017 nucleotides) under Gossypium barbadense (sea-island cotton). RNAcentral describes it as "long non-coding RNA (GBAR_LNC005775)". The record is from RNAcentral. Lineage: Eukaryota; Viridiplantae; Streptophyta; Magnoliopsida; Malvales; Malvaceae.